GAAGCACGCCAGGCCGUCGCUGGUGCACCCGCCGAAAGGCCGCACUGGAGGAACGUCCGGACUGCACAGGGCAGCGUAGCAGGUAACACCUGUCCACCGCGAGGUGAGGAUCAGAGCAACAGAGACGAGUCUUCCGUGCCGCGCAAGUGGUGUGGGAGGGUGAAACGGGCAAUCUCUACGCGCAGCAAUACCAAAUAGGCCAGCGUUGAUGCGGUCCCGCGGAGCUGGCGGGUAGGUAGCACCGAGCCGGUGGGGCGACCCCCGGCCCAGAUGAAUGACGGUCACGCCUGGGCGACCAGGCGCACAGGAUCCGGCGUAUCGGCGGGCUUCACAC
Molecule: RNase P RNA, 334 nt
Filed under: Ramlibacter alkalitolerans
Lineage: Bacteria; Pseudomonadati; Pseudomonadota; Betaproteobacteria; Burkholderiales; Comamonadaceae
Description: RNase P RNA component class A
Rfam family: Bacterial RNase P class A
About the family: Ribonuclease P (RNase P) is a ubiquitous endoribonuclease, found in archaea, bacteria and eukarya as well as chloroplasts and mitochondria.
Source: RNAcentral